Molecule: ribosomal RNA, 497 nt
Filed under: uncultured bacterium
Lineage: Bacteria
Description: partial 16S ribosomal RNA
Rfam family: Bacterial small subunit ribosomal RNA
Source: RNAcentral
GAUGAACGCUGGCGGCGUGCCUAAUACAUGCAAGUCGAGCGAACGGACGAGUAGCUUGCUUCUCUGUUGUUAGCGGCGGACGGGUGAGUAACACGUGGAUAACCUACCUCUCAUACUGGGAUAACUUCGGGAAACCGGCGCUAAUACCGGAUGAUAUUUUGAACCGCAUGGUUCAAAAGUGAAAGACGGUCUUGCUGUCACUUAUAGAUGGAUACGCUCUGCAUUAGCUAGUUGGUAAGGUAACGGCUUACCAAGGGACCGAUGCAUAGCCGACGUGAUAGGCUGAUAGCCCGCCCUGGAACGUGGACGGGCUCCAUGGGCCUACGGGAGGGAGCAGUAGGCAAUGUGCGGCAAUAGUCGGGAGCCUUACGGAACGACGCCGCGUGAGAUAUGACGGUGUUGCGUUCGUAAUGACGGGUUAUUAGUUAAGAACAUAUGUGUAAAGAAACGAGGCGAUCGUGACGGUACCUAAUGAAGAAGCCACGGCUAACUACGUG